UACGAAGGGGGCUAGCGUUGCUCGGAAUCACUGGGCGUAAAGGGCGCGUAGGCGGCCAUUCAAGUCAGAGGUGAAAGCCCAAGGCUCAACCUUGGAAUUGCCUUUGAUACUGUUUGGCUUGAGACCGGAAGAGGUUAGUGGAACUGCGAGUGUAGAGGUGAAAUUCGUAGAUAUUCGCAAGAACACCAGUGGCGAAGGCGGCUAACUGGUCCGGUUCUGACGCUGAGGCGCGAAAGCGUGGGGAGCAAACAGG
Molecule: ribosomal RNA, 253 nt
Filed under: uncultured bacterium
Lineage: Bacteria
Description: partial 16S ribosomal RNA
Rfam family: Bacterial small subunit ribosomal RNA
Source: RNAcentral